CCUACGGGAGGCAGCAGUGAGGAAUAUUGGUCAAUGGACGAGAGUCUGAACCAGCCAAGUAGCGUGAAGGAUGACUGCCCUAUGGGUUGUAAACUUCUUUUAUAUGGGAAUAAACUGAGUCACGUGUGGGAUUUUGUAUGUACCAUAUGAAUAAGGACCGGCUAAUUCCGUGCCAGCAGCCGCGGUAAUACGGAGGCUCCGGGCGUUAUCCGGAUUUAUUGGGUUUAAAGGGAGCGUAGGGGGAUUGUUAAGUCAGUUGUGAAAGUUUGCGGCUCAACCGUAAAAUUGCAGUUGAAACUGGCAGUCUUGAGUGCGGUAGAGGUGGGCGGAAUUCGUGGUGUAGCGGUGAAAUGCUUAGAUAUCACGAAGAACUCCGAUUGCGAAGGCAGCUCACUGGACUGUAACUGACGCUGAGGCUCGAAGGUGUGGGUAUCAAACAGGAUUAGAUACCCUUGUAGUC
Molecule: ribosomal RNA, 460 nt
Filed under: uncultured bacterium
Lineage: Bacteria
Description: partial 16S ribosomal RNA
Rfam family: Bacterial small subunit ribosomal RNA
Source: RNAcentral